CAAAACAACCAAAAAGGGAAUAGUUAGAACAGAGACCAGCAGAAGAAAAGAAAAUCUUGGUCUUUACUACAAACGCAGACUGGCAAGAAGAGAUACGCGACCGAGAAAUACACACUUACAGAUUUAGUUUUUGCUCAAGUCUAGAGGUAUUCAGGGUCAGUUGUUUAUCAUAAUGCUUUCAAACUCAUUUACAUCUUCAUAAUUCAGCAAAAAAAACCCAGUGGUAGGAUCUGUACAAGAGGUCUAGUAUGAAUCUAGCUCUCUGCAGGCUUGAGGGUUGCUCAAGAGCUAAAGCCAGCCCUGAAAGCAUUUGCCCCUGUUUUUAAUUAAGGUGCCUCCAGUUGAUGCUCCUGGGAUCCCCUCAAAGUUGUGUCCUCUCUGGAUCUGGAUUUAAGCUGCUUCCCUUAAGGAAAAGCACUGCACAUCCCUGUCAGAGAUGAAGAGUGCACGUUUCCUUCCCAACAUCAACACAAGCUAAAGAGUGGCCAACUGGAAGCAGGUACCUGUCAACUGGCAAGAUCUCCAGAGUGAAAUGUCAUUACAGAGCAAUGUGAAGCACUCCCAUGUGUGCUAGCAGGGUUAAAAAUGGUGACUUACCAAGCUCUGCGCGUUCCAAGUGAACCAAUGGAAAGACCUCACCACAUCAAACCACAGCUGCUUUGCUCCCUAGCUGCUUUCAGCCAGGGUAAGUACUGUCUGUACUUCUUCCAAAGAGGUGUUUGGUGAGUUACCACCAAACUCUUGGCAUACAUGUUCUCUCUCCCUUUUUUUUUUUUUAUAUUAACCAGCCAGUGGAUCCAUUUUCUCUCAUACACACCCCUCCCUUAACAGCCUGCAACUUGAGAUUCUGUACCAGCUCCUAAUUACUAUCUUUAUUUCCUCUCCCACAGCAUUGUGCCAA
Long non-coding RNA from Falco peregrinus (peregrine falcon), 901 nucleotides. RefSeq lists it as uncharacterized. The transcript is spliced from 3 exons. NCBI's taxonomy places the organism in Eukaryota, Metazoa, Chordata, Aves, Falconiformes, Falconidae. The record is from RefSeq and is a predicted model, not a curated record.